RNAcentral lists this ribosomal RNA (644 nucleotides) under uncultured organism. RNAcentral describes it as "bacterial SSU rRNA". It matches the Rfam family "Bacterial small subunit ribosomal RNA", at positions 74 to 694 of the family's 1533-position model. The record is from RNAcentral.
UUUAGCUUGCUAGAGAAAGUAAGUGGCGCACGGGUGAGUACGCGUGGGUAAUCUGCUCCGAAUCGGGGAUAAGAUUGCGAAAGCGAUGCUAAUACCGGAUAAAAUCUGGUUGGCUUCGGUGAACCGGAUCAAAGGUGGUCUCUUUAUAAAAGCUACCGUUUGGAGAUGAGCUCGCGUACCAUUAGCUAGUUGGUGAGGUAAAGGCUCACCAAGGCGACGAUGGUUAGCUGGUCUGAGAGGAUGAUCAGCCACACCGGAACUGGAACACGGUCCGGACUCCUACGGGAGGCAGCAGUGAGGAAUUUUGCGCAAUGGGGGAAACCCUGACGCAGCAACGCCGCGUGAGUGAUGAAGGCUUUCGGGUCGUAAAGCUCUGUCAGGUGGGAAGAACCCACCAAGUGUUAAGACCACUUGGUGCUGACGGUACCACCGAAGGAAGCACCGGCUAACUCCGUGCCAGCAGCCGCGGUAAUACGGGGGGUGCGAGCGUUAUUCGGAAUCAUUGGGCGUAAAGGGCGCGCAAGCGGUUUUGUAAGUCAGAUGUGAAAUCCCGGGGCUUAACCCCAGGAAGUGCAUAUGAAACUAUGAGACUUGAGUAUGGGAGAGGGAAGCGGAAUUCCUGGUGUAGCGGUGAAAUGCGUAGA